RNAcentral lists this transfer RNA (74 nucleotides) under Bacteroidales bacterium. Its description in RNAcentral is "tRNA-Ala". It matches the Rfam family "tRNA". From Rfam's summary of the family: Transfer RNA (tRNA) molecules are approximately 80 nucleotides in length. Lineage: Bacteria; Pseudomonadati; Bacteroidota; Bacteroidia; Bacteroidales. The record is from RNAcentral. RNAcentral also lists the same sequence under 1 other name.
GGGGCGUUAGCUCAGUUGGCUAGAGCGUUUGACUGGCAGUCAAGAGGUCGUGAGUUCGAUUCUCAUACGCUCCA